UGGGGAAUUGUUCGCAAUGGGCGCAAGCCUGACGACGCAACGCCGCGUGGAGGAUGAAGAUUUUCGGAUCGUAAACUCCUGUCGAACGGGACGAACGGCCCGGCCGUGAACAGCGGCCGGGAGUGACGGUACCGUGAGAGGAAGCCCCGGCUAACUCCGUGCCAGCAGCCGCGGUAAUACGGGGGGGGCAAGCGUUGUUCGGAAUUACUGGGCGUAAAGAGCUCGUAGGUGGCCGCUUUAGUCCGACGUGAAAUCCCUCGGCUCAACCGGGGAACUGCGUCGGAGACUGGGCGGCUUGAAUCCGGGAGAGGGACGUGGAAUUCCAGGUGUAGCGGUGAAAUGCGUAGAUAUCUGGAGGAACACCGGUGGCGAAGGCGGCGUCCUGGACCGGCAUUGACACUGAGGAGCGAAAGCCAGGGUAGCAAACGG
Molecule: ribosomal RNA, 429 nt
Filed under: uncultured bacterium
Lineage: Bacteria
Description: bacterial SSU rRNA
Rfam family: Bacterial small subunit ribosomal RNA
Source: RNAcentral